GCCGAUUUGGUCCUAGUCCCAACUUUAACUAGCUCAAAAAUGCCACAUGCCAGUCAACUAGCAAACCAGUGAAGUCAGAAGUUUACCGAUUUCCCUGAAGAAGGAAAUUAACUAAAGCCCAAAGUAUCAGGAGAAGUAGCCUCCCAUGACGCUAAGUCUCAUUCACCACGUCUGCAGUGCUAAACAUUGGACAAUUAGGGUAACCUAGAUCCAGUAAAGAGCAGUAAAGGAAGUAAAGCACGUGCCAGCCACCGCGGUUAUACGUGCUCCCUAGAGUUAAAGUUUUGCGGUAAAAAGGGUGGUUAGGAAUCCCUAAUAAUUGGUCGCAGCCUGUAGAUAGCUGUAGAAAGCUCACCCGCAGAGAAACUAUUUGGCCAACUUUUAUUAUCUGAUCCCACGAAAAUCAAGUUUUAAACCAGGGUUAGAUAUCCUGCUAUACUUGAAAGUUAACAACCUGAAGCACCAGAGGACUACAAGCCUGAAGCUUAAAACUCAAAGGACUUGGCGGUUUUCCAUAUCUACCUGGAGGAGCUUGCCAUCGAAUCGAUAAUCCACGAUAAACCUCACCAGAUUUUGCAAAAUCUCAGCCUGUAUACCAUCGUCGUAAGUCUACUUUUCGAGAAAGAAGGCCAAAGGGGAUUUCCCCAAGACGUCAGAUCAAGGUGCAGCUUAUAAACUGGGGAUAGGUGAGCUACAAUGUUAAAGCAGCCGUGAAAGAAAAGAUGAAAUUCUUUUCUGAAAUCGGAUUCAGUAGUAAGGCCCAAGAGAAAAUGGGCCUGAACCUUAGCUCUGGAAUGCGUACACAUCGCCCGUCACUCUCGCCCAACUGCAAAUUGUAGCAAGGGGAGAAAAGUCGUAACAUAGUAGGUGUACCGGAAGGUGCCCCUGGAAAAC
This 894-nucleotide non-coding RNA is filed under the name Echinothrix diadema. Its description in RNAcentral is "12S ribosomal RNA". It matches the Rfam family "Bacterial small subunit ribosomal RNA". The record is from RNAcentral. Lineage: Eukaryota; Metazoa; Echinodermata; Echinoidea; Diadematoida; Diadematidae.